UACAGAGGUCCCAAGCGUUACUGAGAAUCACUGGGUUUAAAGGGUGCGUAGGUGGUCCGUUAAGUCAGUUGUGAAAUCCCCGGGCUCAACUCGGGAACUGCUUCUGAUACUGGCGGACUUGAGGCCAGUAGGGGUCACUAGAACUGACGGUGGAGCGGUGAAAUGCGUAGAUAUCGUCAGGAAUGCCGGUGGUGAAGACGGGUGACUGGGCUGGUUCUGACGCUGAGACACGAAAGCCAGGGGAGCAAACGGG
RNAcentral lists this ribosomal RNA (253 nucleotides) under uncultured bacterium. RNAcentral describes it as "partial 16S ribosomal RNA". It matches the Rfam family "Bacterial small subunit ribosomal RNA", at positions 524 to 776 of the family's 1533-position model. The record is from RNAcentral.